AGAGUUUGAUCCUGGCUCAGGAUGAACGCUGGCGGCGUGCUUAACACAUGCAAGUCGAACGGACGAUGAAGAGCUUGCUUUUCAGAGUUAGUGGCGGACGGGUGAGUAACGCGUGGGUAACCUGCCUCAUACAGGGGGAUAGCAGCUGGAAACGGCUGAUAAAACCGCAUAAGCGCACAGCAUCGCAUGAUGCAGUGUGAAAAACUCCGGUGGUAUGAGAUGGACCCGCGUCUGAUUAGCUGGUUGGUGAGGUAACGGCCCACCAAGGCGACGAUCAGUAGCCGGCCUGAGAGGGUGACCGGCCACAUUGGGACUGAGACACGGCCCAAACUCCUACGGGAGGCAGCAGUGGGGAAUAUUGCACAAUGGGGGAAACCCUGAUGCAGCGACGCCGCGUGAAGGAAGAAGUAUCUCGGUAUGUAAACUUCUAUCAGCAGGGAAGAUAAUGACGGUACCUGACUAAGAAGCCCCGGCUAACUACGUGCCAGCCGCCGCGGUAAUAC
This 503-nucleotide ribosomal RNA is filed under the name uncultured bacterium. RNAcentral's name for it is "bacterial SSU rRNA". It matches the Rfam family "Bacterial small subunit ribosomal RNA", at positions 8 to 526 of the family's 1533-position model. The record is from RNAcentral.